Molecule: ribosomal RNA, 1357 nt
Filed under: Pediococcus pentosaceus
Lineage: Bacteria; Bacillati; Bacillota; Bacilli; Lactobacillales; Lactobacillaceae
Description: 16S ribosomal RNA
Rfam family: Bacterial small subunit ribosomal RNA
Source: RNAcentral
GAGUGGCGAACGGGUGAGUAACACGUGGGUAACCUGCCCAGAAGUAGGGGAUAACACCUGGAAACAGAUGCUAAUACCGUAUAACAGAGAAAACCGCAUGGUUUUCUUUUAAAAGAUGGCUCUGCUAUCACUUCUGGAUGGACCCGCGGCGUAUUAGCUAGUUGGUGAGGUAAAGGCUCACCAAGGCAGUGAUACGUAGCCGACCUGAGAGGGUAAUCGGCCACAUUGGGACUGAGACACGGCCCAGACUCCUACGGGAGGCAGCAGUAGGGAAUCUUCCACAAUGGACGCAAGUCUGAUGGAGCAACGCCGCGUGAGUGAAGAAGGGUUUCGGCUCGUAAAGCUCUGUUGUUAAAGAAGAACGUGGGUAAGAGUAACUGUUUACCCAGUGACGGUAUUUAACCAGAAAGCCACGGCUAACUACGUGCCAGCAGCCGCGGUAAUACGUAGGUGGCAAGCGUUAUCCGGAUUUAUUGGGCGUAAAGCGAGCGCAGGCGGUCUUUUAAGUCUAAUGUGAAAGCCUNUCGGCUCAACCGAAGAAGUGCAUUGGAAACUGGGAGACUUGAGUGCAGAAGAGGACAGUGGAACUCCAUGUGUAGCGGUGAAAUGCGUAGAUAUAUGGAAGAACACCAGUGGCGAAGGCGGCUGUCUGGUCUGCAACUGACGCUGAGGCUCGAAAGCAUGGGUAGCGAACAGGAUUAGAUACCCUGGUAGUCCAUGCCGUAAACGAUGAUUACUAAGUGUUGGAGGGUUUCCGCCCUUCAGUGCUGCAGCUAACGCAUUAAGUAAUCCGCCUGGGGAGUACGACCGCAAGGUUGAAACUCAAAAGAAUUGACGGGGGCCCGCACAAGCGGUGGAGCAUGUGGUUUAAUUCGAAGCUACGCGAAGAACCUUACCAGGUCUUGACAUCUUCUGACAGUCUAAGAGAUUAGAGGUUCCCUUCGGGGACAGAAUGACAGGUGGUGCAUGGUUGUCGUCAGCUCGUGUCGUGAGAUGUUGGGUUAAGUCCCGCAACGAGCGCAACCCUUAUUACUAGUUGCCAGCAUUAAGUUGGGCACUCUAGUGAGACUGCCGGUGACAAACCGGAGGAAGGUGGGGACGACGUCAAAUCAUCAUGCCCCUUAUGACCUGGGCUACACACGUGCUACAAUGGAUGGUACAACGAGUCGCGAGACCGCGAGGUUAAGCUAAUCUCUUAAAACCAUUCUCAGUUCGGACUGUAGGCUGCAACUCGCCUACACGAAGUCGGAAUCGCUAGUAAUCGCGGAUCAGCAUGCCGCGGUGAAUACGUUCCCGGGCCUUGUACACACCGCCCGUCACACCAUGAGAGUUUGUAACACCCAAAGCCGGUGGGGUA